Molecule: long non-coding RNA, 585 nt
Organism: Morone saxatilis (striped sea-bass)
Lineage: Eukaryota; Metazoa; Chordata; Actinopteri; Moronidae
Exons: 3
Source: RefSeq, a predicted model, not a curated record
ACUUCCCACUAAGGUCAACGUGUUACAUGACUGAGACACAAGAACCCCAGCUAGCAGGGAACAUUCCCACAACAUUGGCUCGCAUUCCCUACAACUUCUAAGUAUGAUUUAAAGAAAACAUUUAAGAAUAUCCUGGUUGGGGGUGGAUCGGGCUGAUGAGCCACACCAGGCCCGCUUUAGUGGGCUGAAACACGGGGGAGAAUCAUCAGGAAAAAAGUACCGCAUUUGGUCAUCAACACCUACAGUAUGUGUAGCUUUUGCUGACAAGGGAUCUCUUGUGGUCGUGUGAAUAAUGACUGUUGUCUCAUUUUCAGGAGGAGGUUAGAGUGAGUGGUUGGAUGUACAAAGCCUCUGGGUUUAACACUCAACACCACAGUUUGCAUCCCGUCCCCUACAAACAGUCAGUGGUUUCUUCUAACCACAACUUAAAGGUGCCCUGUGGAGUUUUCUUGUAAACAAACAAUGUCAUACACAGCAACAGUGACACGGAUCAUGCAUAGAGAUAAUUGCUCUAUGCUCUAUAAUCACUCGUGUGCACAUGCAUGCGCGUCCUCAUGGCGCUACUAGUGGUCAAAAACUCCUAAA